UUGGGAUUGGGAUCUGCUUAAACUGGAAAAGGAGAUGUACGGAGCUUUCCCCGAUUAGAGGAUUACAGAAGUACUGUGCCGGUCUUUUUAGUGAGCCUAAAUCUGCUCGUUUCUGGCUAUACUCGUUACAGCAGUGUGUUUGCCCAAGUAGAGCGAUCAUGCUGCUGAGACGUGGAAACUAAGAGUUCUAACGCAUAUAAGCCCUUCGGUGUACAGAUUCUGAUGAUGAAGAGGAUUUAAUGGUACUUGUAGUAUGACAAAUAACAACUAAAAAGUUGUGUCGGAUGUCUAAUGUACGAUUCAAGUGGUGGUUACUCGCAAAGCUGUAAGAGCAGUUUCCAGGAGAUAACCACGUGGAAGGAGGCUUUCGUUGAUGGACGAUCUAAAAAAAAACGAAGCUCCCCACCGCG
Varroa destructor (honeybee mite) is the source of this 410-nucleotide long non-coding RNA. The record is from RefSeq and is a predicted model, not a curated record. Lineage: Eukaryota; Metazoa; Arthropoda; Arachnida; Mesostigmata; Varroidae.